Oncorhynchus keta (chum salmon) is the source of this 1617-nucleotide long non-coding RNA. RefSeq lists it as uncharacterized. The transcript is spliced from 4 exons. NCBI's taxonomy places the organism in Eukaryota, Metazoa, Chordata, Actinopteri, Salmoniformes, Salmonidae. The record is from RefSeq and is a predicted model, not a curated record.
UCAUGUUUGAUGCACUCUCUAUGUCCAAUUAUUGCUGUGCUGUCUAUUUGAGAUGAAAUGAACAUUGUGGACAGUUUUCGGCAAGUUGCAACAUUGAAAUACAGAAAAAACUUUUUUUCCAUAAACAAGCUCUAAAUCAUGUUUGAUGCACUCUCUAUGUCCAAUUAUUGCUGUGCUGUCUAUUUGAGAUGAAAUGAACAUUGUGGACAGUUUUCGGCAAGUUGCAACAUUGAAAUACAGAAAAAACUUUUUUUCCAUAAACAAGGUCUAAAUCAUGUUUGAUGCACUCUGUAUGUCCAAUUUUUGCUGUGCUGUCUAUUUGAGAUGAAAUGAACAUUGUGUGGACAGUUUUCAGCAAGUUGCAACUUUGAAAUACAGAAAAAACUUUUUUUCCAUAAACAAGCUCUAAAUCAUGUUUGAUGCACUCUGUAUGUCCAAUUUUUGCUGUGCUGUCUAUUUGAGAUGAAAUGAACAUUGUGGACAGUUUUCGGCAAGUUGCAACAUUGAAAUACAGAAAAAACUUUUUUUCCAUAAACAAGGUCUAAAUCAUGUUUGAUGCACUCUGGAUGUCCACUUUUUGCUGUGCUGUCUAUUUGAGAUGAAAUGAACAUUGUGUGGACAGUUUUCAGCAAGUUGCAACUUUGAAAUACAGAAAAAACUUUUUUUCCAUAAACAAGCUCUAAAUCAUGUUUGAUGCACUCUGUAUGUCCAAUUAUUGCUGUGCUGUCUAUUUGAGAUGAAAUUAACAUUUUGGACAGUUUUCGGCAAGUUGCAACAUUGAAAUACAGAAAAAAACACUUUUCCAUAAACAAGCUCUAAAUUAUGUUUGAUUGCACUCUGGAUGUCCAAUUUUUGCUGUGCUGUCUAUUUGAGAUGAAAUGAACAUUGUGGACAGUUUUCAGCAAGUUGCAACAUUGAAAUACAGAACAAACUUUUUUUCCAUAAACAAGGUCUAAAUCAUGUUUGAUGCACUCUGUAUGUCCAAUUUUUGCUGUGCUGUCUAUUUGAGAUGAAAUGAACAUUGUGUGGACAGUUUUCAGCAAGUUGCAACUUUGAAAUACAGAAAAAACUUUUUUUCCAUAAACAAGCUCUAAAUCAUGUUUGAUGCACUCUGUAUGUCCAAUUAUUGCUGUGCUGUCUAUUUGAGAUGAAAUGAACAUUGUGGACAGUUUUCGGCAAGUUGCAACAUUGAAAUACAGAAAAAACUUUUUUUCCAUAAACAAGGUCUAAAUCAUGUUUGAUGCACUCUGGAUGUCCACUUUUUGCUGUGCUGUCUAUUUGAGAUGAAAUGAACAUUGUGUGGACAGUUUUCAGCAAGUUGCAACUUUGAAAUACAGAAAAAACUUUUUUUCCAUAAACAAGGUCUAAAUCAUGUUUGAUGCACUCUGGAUGUCCACUUUUUGCUGUGCUGUCUAUUUGAGAUGAAAUGAACAUUUUGGACAGUUUUCGGCAAGUUGCAACAUUGAAAUACAGAAAAAAACACUUUUCCAUAAACAAGCUCUAAAUCAUGUUUGAUGCACUCUGGGAUGUCCAAUUUUUGCUGUGCUGUUUAUUUGAGAUGAAAUUAAUAUUUUGGACAGUUUUCGGCAAGUUGCAAUAUUGAAAUACAGAAAAAAC